RNAcentral lists this ribosomal RNA (274 nucleotides) under uncultured bacterium. Its description in RNAcentral is "partial 16S ribosomal RNA". It matches the Rfam family "Bacterial small subunit ribosomal RNA", at positions 523 to 796 of the family's 1533-position model. The record is from RNAcentral.
AUACGAAGGGGGCUAGCGUUGUUCGGAAUUACUGGGCGUAAAGCGCGCGUAGGCGGACUGAUCAGUUGGGGGUGAAAUCCCAGGGCUUAACCCUGGAACUGCCUCCAAUACUGUCAGUCUUGAGUUCGGGAGAGGUGAGUGGAAUUCCUAGUGUAGAGGUGAAAUUCGUAGAUAUUAGGAAGAACACCAGUGGCGAAGGCGGCUCACUGGCCCGAUACUGACGCUGAGGCGCGAAAGCGUGGGGAGCAAACAGGAUUAGAUACCCGAGUAGUCC